UGGGAAGGCGUAGACAGAUAAUUACAGCAGCAGAACAUUUUAAGGCACUCAGGGUAACGGGGAAAGCAGUGACAAAACCAACUAAAGCUUCCUUUGACAUGGUAACAAGCCUUGUGGAUAGGAAGGAAGUGGCAGACAUGGUAUAUCUUGCCUUUAAUAAGGCUUCUGAUACUGUUUCACAUGACCUUCUCAUGAACAAAUUAGAGAAAUGCAACCUAGAUGGAGCUACUACAAGGGGUAAAGGCACAUUUGGCAAAUGUGAAUUGAGCUUUUAAACUGGCACCAGAAGAGGACAUUGGCUUAUUGCACAGGGACCAGUACAACUACAGAGAACUCUUGUGGAGGUAUGGUUAAUGCUAAUGAGGGAAGGAUGAAAGAGAAACAGAAAGAUGACCUUCUGAAGAUGGUUUAAUUCGAGUGCCACAAACCCUCCGAGAAACAUGAACUGCCUCUAUUGCUCUAAAACUGGUGUUAAUCCUGAUGCCUAAAAAUGAUCCCUCAAUGUCAAUGUUAUUUACUAUUUCAUCACUGGCAAAAACAGGUAAAAAAGAGGCUCCUCAGCUGGAUAAGGAGAAAGAAAAAGAAGGAAGAGAAAAUGAAUGAGACAGAGAGAAUGAAGAGGCAGAAGAAUCAGCAGAUUGUGGAUCAUUGUUUUUAAAAGCACUGUGAGGCUGCUACAUCCAGCAAGAUCAUUUGCUUAUCUCCAUAUCACUGCUAUCUUCUCCAGUCAGCAGCACAAAACUAAUUGAUUUGCUUGUUUUUUCUGCAUGUUUGUGCAUAUUUGUGAAGUUGAAAGAGGAGUGAAUGUAAAGGUACAGCUCUAAAAAUUACUGUGUGUGAGACAAACAGACUAAAAAACUCAGACAAUGGCCCUGAAGUCAGAAACGGUGUGCCAUAAUUUGUAUGCAUAUACCUCUGCAUGAUUACCAUGAAUGGGCACGCUGUUGCAGUAUUUGCAUACCCAAAUUAUGCAGGAUUAUUUUGCAUAUGUAUUUCCAAGUUUGCAAUUCUAAAAAUUUGCCUGUUAUUUGC
Long non-coding RNA from Mauremys reevesii (Reeves's turtle), 1032 nucleotides. RefSeq lists it as uncharacterized. The record is from RefSeq and is a predicted model, not a curated record. Lineage: Eukaryota; Metazoa; Chordata; Testudines; Geoemydidae. The transcript is spliced from 4 exons.